AUAGAGCUAAUAUGUAAUCCACUGGGUGGCGCUGUCAGCGAUGGCAGCCUCGCCAACGGUCUGUCUGUCUUGUCUUUUUGUUAUUUUUAGUGUGUUUUAAAAAGUCUGUGUUAGUGUUCUCUGGUUUGUUUUAUGUGGGGG
Molecule: long non-coding RNA, 141 nt
Organism: Amblyraja radiata (thorny skate)
Lineage: Eukaryota; Metazoa; Chordata; Chondrichthyes; Rajiformes; Rajidae
Exons: 3
Source: RefSeq, a predicted model, not a curated record